Molecule: ribosomal RNA, 207 nt
Filed under: uncultured bacterium
Lineage: Bacteria
Description: partial 16S ribosomal RNA
Rfam family: Bacterial small subunit ribosomal RNA
Source: RNAcentral
CUCGUAGGUGGUCUGUUACGUCUGCUGUGAAAUCCUAGGGCUUAACCCUGGGCCUGCAGUGGAUACGGGCAGACUAGAGGUAGGUAGGGGAGAAUGGAAUUCCCGGUGUAGCGGUGAAAUGCGCAGAUAUCGGGAGGAACACCGGUGGCGAAGGCGGUUCUCUGGGCCUUACCUGACACUGAGGAGCGAAAGCGUGGGGAGCGAACA